AAAAGAAGUCGAUUUUAGAGUUCAUAAAUACCUCCAGUAUAACUUAUAAUAGGUUCACCUUCAACAAUUACUAUGUAAAUAUCACCUUUCAUUGAAACCAUAAAAACUAAUAGAAUAAUCAACAACGUAAAUCCAAAAUUAGCAUAGAAUACUAAACAUUUAAAAUGAAGAGAAGUUGAACAUAAACCAAAAGUAAGAUUUUUUAAACUGAUAUGAAAGGAAAUGCAGAAAAGGUAUGAACUUUUCACUAAUAUAUGAAAAAUAACAUGUAGCAAACGUUUGUUAUCCACUCAUUUUUAAAGCCAAUAGGAAGAAGACUGCCACCACACUUGUCACCAAAAAAUUACGAAUCUCGACACGUUCCUCACGAAUCUGUCACUGCCGCCGGAGUACCCUUUUGUUCUCUGCUCCCAUGUUCGCACCACUAUGGCCGCUGAUAUUU
Molecule: long non-coding RNA, 442 nt
Filed under: Lathyrus oleraceus (garden pea)
Lineage: Eukaryota; Viridiplantae; Streptophyta; Magnoliopsida; Fabales; Fabaceae
Description: Pisum sativum (pea) long non-coding RNA (PSAT_LNC020114)
Source: RNAcentral